AUGAACGCUGGCGGCGUGCCUAAUACCUGCAAGUCGAGCGAACAGAUGAGGAGCUUGCUCCUCUGACGUUAGCGGCGGACGGGUGAGUAACACGUGGAUAACCUACCUAUAAGACUGGGAUAACUUCGGGAAACCGGAGCUAAUACCGGAUAAUAUAUUGAACCGCAUGGUUCAAUAGUGAAAGACGGUUUUGCUGUAACUUAUAGAUGGAUCCGCGCCGCAUUAGCUAGUUGGUAAGGUAACGGCUUACCAAGGCAACGAUGCGUAGCCGACCUGAGAGGGUGAUCGGCCACACUGGAACUGGGACACGGUCCAGACACCGACGGGAGGCAGCAGUAGGGAAUCUUCCGCAAUGGGCGAAAGCCUGACAUAGCAACGCCGCGUGAGUGAUGAAGGUCUUCGGAUCGUAAAACUCUGUUAUUAGGGAAGAACAAAUGUGUAAGUAACUAUGCACGUCUUGACGGUACCUAGUCAGAAAGCCACGGCUAACUACGUG
This 496-nucleotide ribosomal RNA is filed under the name uncultured bacterium. RNAcentral describes it as "partial 16S ribosomal RNA". It matches the Rfam family "Bacterial small subunit ribosomal RNA", at positions 29 to 507 of the family's 1533-position model. The record is from RNAcentral.